GCCUGAAUAUGAUGAUGAUAAUGAUAAUGGUGAUGAUGAUGAUCACAAAGCAUGAUAAACCAAAUACCAUCAUCAUCAUCAUCAUCAUCAUCAUCAUCAUUA
RNAcentral lists this microRNA precursor (102 nucleotides) under Bigelowiella natans CCMP2755. RNAcentral describes it as "miRNA EPrBNAG00000013451". The record is from RNAcentral. Lineage: Eukaryota; Cercozoa; Chlorarachniophyceae.